AGAGUUUGAUCCUGGCUCAGGAUGAACGCUGGCGGCGUGCUUAACACAUGCAAGUCGAACGAAGCACUUGAAUGGAAUUCUUCGGAAGGAAGCUUAAGUGACUGAGUGGCGGACGGGUGAGUAACGCGUGGGUAACCUGCCUCAUACAGGGGGAUAACAGUUAGAAAUGACUGCUAAUACCGCAUAAGCACACGUGAUCGCAUGAUCGAGUGUGAAAAACUCCGGUGGUAUGAGAUGGACCCGCGUCUGAUUAGCUAGUUGGUGGGGUAACGGCCCACCAAGGCGACGAUCAGUAGCCGGCCUGAGAGGGUGAACGGCCACAUUGGGACUGAGACACGGCCCAAACUCCUACGGGAGGCAGCAGUGGGGAAUAUUGCACAAUGGGGGAAACCCUGAUGCAGCGACGCCGCGUGAAGGAUGAAGUAUUUCGGUAUGUAAACUUCUAUCAGCAGGGAAGAAAAUGACGGUACCUGACUAAGAAGCCCCGGCUAACUACGUGCCAGCAGCCGCGGUAAUACGUAGGGGGCAAGCGUUAUCCGGAAUGAUUGGGCGUAAAGGGUGCGCAGGCGGCAUAUCAAGUCUGAAGUGGAAGGUACGGGCUCAACCUGUACAGGCUUUGGAAACUGGUAUGCUCGAGGACAGGAGAGGGCGGUGGAACUCCACGUGUAGCGGUAAAAUGCGUAGAGAUGUGGAAGAACACCAGUGGCGAAGGCGGCCGCCUGGCCUGUAACUGACGCUCAGGCACGAAAGCGUGGGGAGCAAAUAGGAUUAGAUACCCUAGUAGUCCACGCCCUAAACGAUGAGGAGCAGGUGUCGGGGGUAGUACCUCGGUGCCGAAGCUAACGCAAUGACUCCUCCGCCUGGGGAGUAUGCACGCAAGUGUGAAACUCAAAGGAAUUGACGGGGGCCCGCACAAGCGGUGGAGUAUGUGGUUUAAUUCGACGCAACGCGAGGAACCUUACCAGCGUUUGACAUCCCAAGAAGUUAACAGAGAUGUUUUCGUGCCUCUUCGGAGGAACUUGGUGACAGGUGGUGCAUGGCUGUCGUCAGCUCGUGUCGUGAGAUGUUGGGUUAAGUCCCGCAACGAGCGCAACCCCUUUCGUAUGUUACCAUCAUUAAGUUGGGGACUCAUGCGAGACUGCCUGCGAUGAGCAGGAGGAAGGUGGGGAUGACGUCAAGUCAUCAUGCCCCUUAUACGCUGGGCUACACACGUGCUACAAUGGGCAGUACAGAGAGUUGCCAACCCGUGAGGGUGAGCUAAUCUCUUAAAGCUGUUCUUAGUUCGGAUUGUACUCUGCAACUCGAGUACAUGAAGUUGGAAUCGCUAGUAAUCGCAAAUCAGCAUGUUGCGGUGAAUACGUUCUCGGGUCUUGCACUCACCGCCCGUCA
This 1389-nucleotide ribosomal RNA is filed under the name uncultured bacterium. RNAcentral describes it as "partial 16S ribosomal RNA". It matches the Rfam family "Bacterial small subunit ribosomal RNA". The record is from RNAcentral.